RNAcentral lists this ribosomal RNA (460 nucleotides) under uncultured bacterium. Its description in RNAcentral is "partial 16S ribosomal RNA". It matches the Rfam family "Bacterial small subunit ribosomal RNA", at positions 338 to 795 of the family's 1533-position model. The record is from RNAcentral.
CCUACGGGAGGCUGCAGUGAGGAAUAUUUGUCACUGGGCGGGAGCCUGAACCAGCCAAGUCGCGUGAGGGAAGACGGUCCUAUGGAUUGUAAACCUCUUUAGGCGGGGAGCAAUGCCGGGCACGCGUGCCCGGAGGGAGAGUACCCGCAGAAUAAGCCUCGGCUAACUCCGUGCCAGCAGCCGCGGUAAUACGGGGGAUGCGAGCGUUAUCCGGAUUUAUGGGGUUUAAAGGGUGCGUAGGCGGAUUUUUAAGUCAGCGGUAAAAUGUCCGGGCUCAACCCGGGCCGGCCGUUGAAACUGGGGAUCUUGGGUGGGCGAGAAGUAUGCGGAAUGCGUGGUGUAGCGGUGAAAUGCAUAGAUAUCACGCAGAACUCCGAUGGCGAAGGCAGCAUACCGGCGCCCGACUGACGCUGAGGCACGAAAGCGUGGGGAUCGAACAGGAUUAGAUACCCGUGUAGUC